This 324-nucleotide long non-coding RNA is filed under the name Parus major (Great Tit). RNAcentral describes it as "lncRNA (ENSPMJG00000005777.1)". Lineage: Eukaryota; Metazoa; Chordata; Aves; Passeriformes; Paridae. The record is from RNAcentral.
CAGGAAUUUCAGCCAUUCCGGGAUGAAAGCCUCCUGAAAGGAAUCUCUUUCCCUGUGGGACUGCCCAGCUUUCAGCCCUGCUUCUGGGGGAAGAGUUCACCAGAGGACACCUCAUGUAUUUGGAACCAAACGUGCCAUGAAGUGCAGGACUGCUGGAGCCUGUGGGGCUGGAGCAGGUGCUGACGUUGGCCAGGCUGGUGGGACCCCAGGAGGAGAACUCUGAGCCAAUUCCCUUCCCUAUGGCCAGGAAUGGGAUCCCCCACGUUCUCCUCCCAGUCUGAGAAGACAAGAAAAUAAACAAGGAAAAUGUCUGUGCUGAUGGCA